RNAcentral lists this ribosomal RNA (482 nucleotides) under uncultured bacterium. Its description in RNAcentral is "partial 16S ribosomal RNA". It matches the Rfam family "Bacterial small subunit ribosomal RNA", at positions 30 to 507 of the family's 1533-position model. The record is from RNAcentral.
AUUGAACGCUGGCGGCAUGCUUUACACAUGCAAGUCGAACGGUAACAGGCCGCAAGGUGCUGACGAGUGGCGAACGGGUGAGUAAUGCAUCGGAACGUGCCCAGUCGUGGGGGAUAACUACUCGAAAGAGUAGCUAAUACCGCAUACGAUCUAUGGAUGACAGCGGGGGACCGUAAGGCCUCGCGCGAUUGGAGCGGCCGAUGUCAGAUUAUGUAGUUGGUGGGGUAAAGGCUCACCAAGCCAACGAUCUGUAGCUGGUCUGAGAGGACAACCAGCCACACUGGGACUGAGACACGGCCCAGACUCCUACGGGAGGCAGCAGUGGGGAAUUUUGGACAAUGGGCGCAAGCCUGAUCCAGCAAUGCCGCGUGCAGGAAGAAGGCCUUCGGGUUGUAAACUGCUUUUGUACGGAACGAAACGGCUCUGGUUAAUACCCGGGGCUAAUGACGGUACCGUAAGAAUAAGCACCGGCUAACUACGUG